CUUGGAGUACCUGAGUGGUCUAAAGGCACAGACUGCAAAUCUGAUGAUUCGUGGGUUCAAAUCCCACCUCCAAGU
RNAcentral lists this transfer RNA (75 nucleotides) under Crassvirales sp. RNAcentral's name for it is "tRNA-Cys". It matches the Rfam family "tRNA". From Rfam's summary of the family: Transfer RNA (tRNA) molecules are approximately 80 nucleotides in length. Lineage: Duplodnaviria; Heunggongvirae; Uroviricota; Caudoviricetes; Crassvirales. The record is from RNAcentral.